CUUCAAUAUUCUAAUACACUAAUAUAUAUGGGUGCGUUAGUUUUAAUAUCAUGUGAUUUAAUUUUAUAAGACAUAUGAUUUGACAGGACGUUUAGUAACUUUGACCCCUAUUUCCUGCUUUAAGACUAUAUUUAAUGCAUUCACUGUGUGUUCUAUAUUGGCUUGACGAAGAUCGUGGUUACCAGUCAAAAUGAUGCUUUGUGUACUUAGACAAACACUGUAAUAAAGGGACACUGGAGUGUUAAAUAUUAGUUUUGGGACUUAG
Pelobates cultripes (western spadefoot toad) is the source of this 265-nucleotide non-coding RNA. Lineage: Eukaryota; Metazoa; Chordata; Amphibia; Anura; Pelobatidae. The record is from the annotation of a GenBank genome assembly.